RNAcentral lists this ribosomal RNA (497 nucleotides) under uncultured bacterium. RNAcentral describes it as "partial 16S ribosomal RNA". It matches the Rfam family "Bacterial small subunit ribosomal RNA", at positions 28 to 507 of the family's 1533-position model. The record is from RNAcentral.
GAUGGACGCUGGCGGCGUGCCUAAUACAUGCAAGUCGAGCGAACGGACGAGAAGCUUGCUUUUCUGAUGUUAGCGGCGGACGGGUGAGUAACACGUGGAUAACCUACCUAUAAGACUGGGAUAACUUCGGGAAACCGGAGCUAAUACCGGAUAAUAUUUUGAACCGCAUGGUUCAUAAGUGAAAGACGGUCUUGCUGUCACUUAUAGAUGGAUCCGCGCUGCAUUAGCUAGUUGGUAAGGUAACGGCUUACCAAGGCAACGAUGCAUAGCCGACCUGAGAGGGUGAUCGGCCACACUGGAGCUGGGACACGGUCCAGACUCCUACGGGAGGCAGCAGUAGGGAAUCUUCCGCGAUGGGCGGAAGCCUGACGGAGCGACGCCGCGUGAGUGAUGAGAGUCUUCGGAUCGUAAAACUCUGUUAUUGGGGAAGAACAUAUGUGUAAGUAACUGUGCACAUCUUGACGGUACCUAAUCAGAAAGCCACGGCUAACUACGUG